This 4275-nucleotide ribosomal RNA is filed under the name Triticum aestivum (bread wheat). RNAcentral describes it as "partial small subunit ribosomal RNA". The record is from RNAcentral. Lineage: Eukaryota; Viridiplantae; Streptophyta; Magnoliopsida; Poales; Poaceae.
AUGGCGCACUCGUGUACUGCUCCAUGGCCACAUAACAGAACAGAACGCUUUCUUGCGGCUUGCCUCGCAUCUCCUCCACAAUCCCUUCAUCCUCGACACCCAGGUUAUGACCAGAUCGCUUGGACAUCUGCGGAGCAAAUUGAGUUUGUACUUUGUAGACCACACACAGGGGUACCGGCUAGUUCUCCAGUAGGUCACAUACAAGGCUACCGGCUAAAUCUCCUGUGGGAAAAGCACCGUGCACUUAGAAUGGGGGACCGAAUUGUCCUGGAGCGCAUACUUUCCGGAUUUGAGAAACCGACGAACCUCGCAUUAGCACUUUUACAGGAGAUCACUGAAAAUUUCUCUGAAAUGAGAAAAAUUGGGGAGGGUGGAUUUGGGGAGGUUUACAAGGGUGUGCUCCACAAUAGGAUUAUUGCCGUGAAGAGGAUAAUUGUGAGCGAACACACAAUCGACGACAGGCUAUUUGAUCGUGAAGUUAAAAAUUUGAUGAAGAUUAUUAGCCAUCGAAAUGUAGUUCGUUUUCUCGGCUUUUGUUCAAAUACACAUCGUGAGGCGAUAAAAGAGGAAGGAUCAACAGAAUUGGUUUUGGCCCAGAUGAGAGAAAGAUUACUUUGUUUCGAGUAUAUCAGCAACAGAAGCCUCGAUAAACAUAUUACCGAUGAAUUACGAGGACUUGAAUGGAGUAUACGAUACGAAAUAAUCAAAGGAAUUUGUCAUGGUUUGCAUUACCUUCACGAGGAAAAAAAUAUUAUUCAUAUGGACCUCAAACCUGGCAAUAUAAUGAUAGAUGAAGAUAUGGUGCCAAAGAUAACAGAUUUUGGUUUAUCAAGACUUGAUAAACAUACACACACCAGUGGUACCCGUUAUAUAACACAAGGAUACUGUGCUCCAGAAUACGUGAAUGGUGGCAAGACAUCAAAAAAGGCUGACAUGUAUAGUUUGGGUGUUAUACUCACGGAACUGAUAACCGGACUUAAGGGCGAUCCAGAAAAUGUUAAUAUAAGCCUUUACUCGGAUGACAUGCUUGGAAUUAAGCCGCUCGAACUACGGUUUCUCUUUGAGCGUCAGAAACAGAUAUCAUCCGUAGUUAAGCUAAUCAACAAGACAAAGGAUUACUACGCCUUCAACAUCGAAACACCAAGCCAACAGUACUGUGCACAACCAAACAAAGGCAUUGUGUGUCCACAAUCCAAGUGUACUAUCCAGAUAACAAUGCAAAUGCAUGAGACUACACCACAAGAUAUGCCGUACACCGACGAUUUUAUCGUGCAAAGCACAAAAGUCGACGGGGACCUUAGAGCAGGGGAUAUCACUGAUGUCUUGUUCAACAAAGAGCCGGGUAAAGUGGAUGAGGUAAUUUUGACAGUUGUGGUAUAUCUGCCUGAGAAAUCUAAGGGAGAUCUCAAGAGUCGAGAAGACACCAAGAAAAAACGGAAUAUGGUUGAAUAUGCUUUUAGCAAGGACAAACCUGGCGUCGGCGCAACUAUGCAAUCAGAGGACAUUAAUUCUAUUGGUUACAAAGAUGUGCGAGGACAAUGUACUGGGCAACCUGAGCACCAUAGCUUCCAUGCAGCUCCAAGCAUGCAAACCAAGAUGAGCAACAGAGUUGUGGAUCUUGCAACAGGGGCCAUGGGCAGCCUUCUCUACAAGCUUGGCGACCUCCUCAAGGAAGAGUACAAUCUAGAGAUUGGUGCGAAGACAGACAUAGAGUAUUUCUCAGAUGAGCUUUUGGAGAUGCAGUUAGCGCUCUGCAAGGUGUCCGAGGUACAACGAGACAACCUCAAUGACCAGGUCAUACACUGGGCCAACAAUGUUAGGGAUAUGUCAUAUGACAUUGAGGAUGUGGUUGAUGGCUUUUUGGUACACAUCGAGCAUGCCUCUAAUACAGGCUUCUUCAUGGGGCUCAUGCAGAACAUGUUCAAUCUCUUCAAGUGGGGAAAGACUCACAAUCCGAUCCGUGACACGAUCAAAGACAUAAAGAAACAAGUUAAAGAUGCGGCUGAUAGGCGUAGAAAGUGCAAGGUUGAUGAAGUCGUGGCUAAUGUAGCUGUCGUGACUACAAUUGACCCUCGCAUUUCAGCUAUAUACAAAGAUCAGAAAGAGCUCGUUGGAAUUAAAGAGCCAAGAAAUGAGCUAAUCAAGUGGCUCUCUGAUAAGGAGGGGGGUGGAGAUGUGUCUAAGAAGCAACUCAAGAUAGUCUCUAUUGUUGGAUUCGGAGGAUUGGGCAAGACAACACUUGCCAAGGCAGUGUAUGACAAGCUUCAAUCCCAGUUCUAUCCUAUGGUUUUUGUUCCAGUGGGUAGGAAUCCUAAUGUGAAAAAAGUUUUUGAGGCAAUUCUCCAUGAGCUUGGCUAUGGUUUCAAUGCACUAAACUUAAAUGAAAUGCAGCUCAUCAACAAAAUUCGAGAAUUGCUCCAGAACAAGAGGUACUUCAUAGUAAUUGAUGAUAUAUGGGAUUCCUCAGCGUGGGAUAUUAUUAAAUGUGCUUUGACAAAUGACAAUUGUGGCAGUGGAGUGUUGACAACUACCAGGAUUCGCUCUGUUGCUGAUGACUGUUGCAUACAUAGCAGAGGAUAUGUUUAUAUGAUGAAACCACUAAAUAACCAAGACUCAAGAAAACUUUUUGUUAGUAGAAUAUUUGGAAAUCAUGAUGAUCUUAAAGAUAUGGAACAAAUAUUGGAUCUUAGCUACAUGCAUCUCCCUCACCAUCUUAAGACAUGCCUGCUUGAUAUUGGUAAGUACCGAGAGGACCAGGAGAUAGAAAAGGAUUAUUUGCUGAGGCAAUGGAUAGCUCAAGAGUUUGUGAGCACAACUAGUGUGCGUGAUGCCGAGGAUGUCGCAGAAGACUACUUCUAUAAGCUCAUCAACAUGAGCAUGAUCCAACCUUGGAAGAUAGACUACAAUGAUGAGGUGUUGUCCUGCAAAGUACAUGAUAUAAUGCUUGAUCUCAUCAGAUCCAAGGUCGCAGAAGAAAAUUUUAGUCUUAUAAUAGAUGGGCCCGAAGUUGUGAUAAGGGAACACAAAAGGGUCCGCCGAGUCUCCAUUUAUUACAAUGGUGAAGAUGAUGGUGAAAUACUAGAAGCAAUCAGUGGGCCACUAUCGCAUGUUCGGUCGAUCUUACUUUUUAGAGGGCCUCUUGUGCCUUCUUUUCUGGUGCUGAAGUAUGUUCGAGUUCUUCACCUUGAAGAUGAGAGAUGUGAGAGGCUAGACCUCACCGGUAUUUGUGGGUUGUUUCUACUAAGGUAUUUAAAGAUUUUUUGCUGCAGGAUACAUUUGAUACUACCUAGUAAAAUUGGGGAGCUACGGCAAUUGGAGACAGUAGAAGUGGAAGGGCAAUAUAAACCGACAUCUCUUCCAUCAGAUAUUGUUACUUUGCCCCGGUUGUCGCAUCUCAGUUAUUCAAAUGGUCUGGUGUUGCCUGACGGGAUUGGCAAGUUGAAAUCUCUGCGCACCCUACGAGGUGCUGCAUUUUUGGAAAGCUCGGUGGACAAUAUUAAGGGCCUCGGCGAGCUGACAAACUUGAGGGAACUUGAGAUGUUUUCGGAAUUGCGGUUUUAUAAUGAAGAGGAUGAAUUGGAGUGGAAGAUGCAUAUUGAUGCCUUGCGCUCUUCCAUUGGAAAGCUUUCCAACACCCUCAGGAGCCUUUAUAUCGGAGAAAGAUGCCCCAUAGUACCGCUGGUCCAUGGCUGGAGCAGCACACUAACCCCACCUCGUCGUCUUCGGAAGCUUGAUCUGACUGGCUGUGAGUUCCAAGGAAUCCCCGAGUGGAUUGCUCAGCUCCACGAGCUCUACAGUUUAACUAUUUUCGUGAGGGAAGUGGCUGAUUUUGUCAGUAUUGUUGCAGGGUUGCGUUCCCUUGCGCACUUAGAAUUGCGGGGACUCAUGUAUGGACUGUCUAAAAGGGAAAAGUGGGUAAUCAUCAAUGCCAGGGCAUUCGGAGCGCUCAAGCAUCUGGAGUUGUACUGUCCUUAUGUGUCACUGGUCUUUGAAGCGGGAGCUAUGCCCAACCUAGAGAAGCUCGGCAUAUGCUUUCGUUUCUUCAUAUCUGCUGAAUUGUUACCAGUUGGCAUCGAGCACUUGCCAGCAGGCACUCUGCGGGAUAUCCAUUUAACGUUGGCGUCCAACGGUAAUGAGGUAGUGGCCUCCCAGUUCGAACAACAUAAAGCAGCUGUCGGUAUGCUGUUGAAGAGCGCGUUUGAGGCGCAUCAUCCUGCUGCAGAUGUCACCAUUGACUUUGAUAACGUCCUCAAGAGAUUGAUGCAGUCGCUGUAA